RNAcentral lists this ribosomal RNA (859 nucleotides) under uncultured Bacillota bacterium. RNAcentral describes it as "bacterial SSU rRNA". It matches the Rfam family "Bacterial small subunit ribosomal RNA", at positions 1 to 857 of the family's 1533-position model. The record is from RNAcentral. Lineage: Bacteria; Bacillati; Bacillota.
AGAACUUUUGAUUUCUGGCUCAGGACGAAACGCUGGCGGCGUGCCUAACACAUGCAAGUCGAACGGAACCGUUUUUGAAAGAUUUCUUCGGAAAUUGAAUUUGAUUUAGUUUAGUGGCGGACGGGUGAGUAACGCGUGAGUAACCUGCCUUCAAGAGGGGGAUAACAUUCUGAAAAGAAUGCUAAUACCGCAUGACAUAUCGGAACCACAUGGUUUUGAUAUCAAAGAUUUUAUCGCUUGAAGAUGGACUCGCGUCCGAUUAGUUAGUUGGUGAGGUAACGGCUCACCAAGACCGCGAUCGGUAGCCGGACUGAGAGGUUGAACGGCCACAUUGGGACUGAGACACGGCCCAGACUCCUACGGGAGGCAGCAGUGGGGGAUAUUGCGCAAUGGGGGCAACCCUGACGCAGCAACGCCGCGUGAAGGAUGAAGGUUUUCGGAUUGUAAACUUCUUUUAUUAAGGACGAAACUUGACGGUACUUAAUGAAUAAGCUCCGGCUAACUACGUGCCGGCAGCCGCGGUAAUACGUAGGGAGCAAGCGUUGUCCGGAUUUACUGGGUGUAAAGGGUGCGUAGGCGGCUUUGCAAGUCAGAUGUGAAAUCUAUGGGCUCAACCCAUAAACUGCAUUUGAAACUGUAGAGCUUGAGUGAAGUAGAGGCAGGCGGAAUUCCCCGUGUAGCGGUGAAAUGCGUAGAGAUGGGGAGGAACACCAGUGGCGAAGGCGGCCUGCUGGGCUUUAACUGACGCUGAGGCACGAAAGCGUGGGUAGCAAACAGGAUUAGAUACCCUGGUAGUCCACGCUGUAAACGAUGAUUACUAGGUGUGGGGGGUCUGACCCCUUCCGUGCCGGAGUUAACA